GGAAGGUUACCGGGAUGCGCUAUAUUGCAGUCGAGCGGUAAGGCCUUUCGGGGUACACGAGCGGCGAACGGGUGAGUAACACGUGGGUGAUCUGCCCUGCACUUCGGGAUAAGCCUGGGAAACUGGGUCUAAUACCGGAUAUGACCUCCUAUCGCAUGGUGGGUGGUGGAAAGAUUUAUCGGUGCAGGAUGGGCCCGCGGCCUAUCAGCUUGUUGGUGGGGUAAUGGCCUACCAAGGCGACGACGGGUAGCCGACCUGAGAGGGUGACCGGCCACACUGGGACUGAGACACGGCCCAGACUCCUACGGGAGGCAGCAGUGGGGAAUAUUGCACAAUGGGCGAAAGCCUGAUGCAGCGACGCCGCGUGAGGGAUGACGGCCUUCGGGUUGUAAACCUCUUUCAGCAGGGACGAAGCGCAAGUGACGGUACCUGCAGAAGAAGCACCGGCUAACUACGUGCCAGCAGCCGCGGUAAUACGUAGGGUGCAAGCGUUGUCCGGAAUUACUGGGCGUAAAGAGUUCGUAGGCGGUUUGUCGCGUCGUUUGUGAAAACCAGCAGCUCAACUGCUGGCUUGCAGGCGAUACGGGCAGACUUGAGUACUGCAGGGGAGACUGGAAUUCCUGGUGUAGCGGUGAAAUGCGCAGAUAUCAGGAGGAACACCGGUGGCGAAGGCGGGUCUCUGGGCAGUAACUGACGCUGAGGAACGAAAGCGUGGGUAGCGAACAGGAUUAGAUACCCUGGUAGUCCACGCCGUAAACGGUGGGCGCUAGGUGUGGGUUCCUUCCACGGAAUCCGUGCCGUAGCUAACGCAUUAAGCGCCCCGCCUGGGGAGUACGGCCGCAAGGCUAAAACUCAAAGGAAUUGACGGGGGCCCGCACAAGCGGCGGAGCAUGUGGAUUAAUUCGAUGCACGCGAAGAACCUUACCUGGGUUUGACAUAUACCGGAAAGCUGCAGAGAUGUGGUCCCCCCUUGUGGUCGGUAUACAGUGGUGCAUGUCUGUCGUCAGCUCGUGUUCGUGAUAUGUUGGGUUAAUUCCCGCAACGAGCGCAACCCCUAUCUUAUGUUGCCUACACGUUAUGGUUGGGGGACUCGUAGAAACUGCGGGGUCAACUCGAGGAAGGUGGGGACGACGUCAAGACAUCUGGCCCUUAUUGUCACAGGCCUUAA
RNAcentral lists this ribosomal RNA (1168 nucleotides) under Rhodococcus erythropolis. Its description in RNAcentral is "bacterial SSU rRNA". It matches the Rfam family "Bacterial small subunit ribosomal RNA", at positions 30 to 1218 of the family's 1533-position model. The record is from RNAcentral. Lineage: Bacteria; Bacillati; Actinomycetota; Actinomycetes; Mycobacteriales; Nocardiaceae.